RNAcentral lists this transfer RNA (77 nucleotides) under Chloroflexota bacterium. RNAcentral's name for it is "tRNA-Pro". It matches the Rfam family "tRNA". From Rfam's summary of the family: Transfer RNA (tRNA) molecules are approximately 80 nucleotides in length. Their secondary structure includes four short double-helical elements and three loops (D, anti-codon, and T loops). Further hydrogen bonds mediate the characteristic L-shaped molecular structure. tRNAs have two regions of fundamental functional importance: the anti-codon, which is responsible for specific mRNA codon recognition, and the 3' end, to which the tRNAs corresponding amino acid is attached (by aminoacyl-tRNA synthetases). tRNAs cope with the degeneracy of the genetic code in two manners: having more than one tRNA (with a specific anti-codon) for a particular amino acid; and 'wobble' base-pairing, i.e. permitting non-standard base-pairing at the 3rd anti-codon position. Lineage: Bacteria; Bacillati; Chloroflexota. The record is from RNAcentral. RNAcentral also lists the same sequence under 1 other name.
CGGGGAGUAGCGCAGCUUGGUAGCGCACCUGGAUGGGGGCCAGGAGGUCGGCCGUUCGAAUCGGCUCUCCCCGACCA